This 836-nucleotide unclassified non-coding RNA is filed under the name Hevea brasiliensis (rubber tree). The record is from RNAcentral. Lineage: Eukaryota; Viridiplantae; Streptophyta; Magnoliopsida; Malpighiales; Euphorbiaceae.
UUCUUUUACUUCACAUAGCUUUUCGUCUCUUUGAACUCUGAAAGCACUACUUCUUUUAGUGCUGCUGGUAUUCGUAAGUCAGCUGGGUACUAUGCAACGUCUUCUUUCUUGCUGCUUUUAUUAUUUUAUCUUCAUCUAUUCCAUUCCAUUAUUCUUCACUUACUAAACUAAAAGUAGUAAUUCAAUUAGCAAUCGAGUUCUGAUCAGCUAAUUACCGUGAAAUCGAAUUCGAAUUGAUGUGGCACCUAAAGGAUUUGCUGCACUUCCUGGGAAAGAAGUCGUCUUGGUAUUGGAUCUGCUUUUCUCUCGUGCUCUUCUGGGCGGUAUAAAGAAAUGAGUAAUGAGCCCACCGACGGACCAUGAAAACGUUAUAAUCUACCCUAGUAUUUUCACCUUGGGUGCCUCCGAUGGAAAUCGGGGAUUAGAAAAAGUCAAGUGAAAGAAGCCCACAUACCCGCUCUUCUUUCCCCCCAGCGAUGGGGCCUCCAUCCUUUUAAUUUUUAGAAGGAUUAGGCCCCAUCGCUGGGGGGAAAGAAGAGCGGGUAUGUGGGCUUCUUUCACUUGACUUUUUCUAAUCCCCGAUUUCCAUCGGAGGCACCCAAGGUGAAAAUACUAGGGUAGAUUAUAACGUUUUCAUGGUCCGUCGGUGGGCUCAUUACUCAUUUCUUUAUACCGCCCAGAAGAGCACGAGAGAAAAGCAGAUCCAAUACCAAGACGACUUCUUUCCCAGGAAGUGCAGCAAAUCCUUUAGGUGCCACAUCAAUUCGAAUUCGAUUUCACGGUAAUUAGCUGAUCAGAACUCGAUUGCUAAUUGAAUUACUACUUUUAGUUUAGUA